Molecule: non-coding RNA, 72 nt
Organism: Phrynosoma platyrhinos (Desert horned lizard)
Lineage: Eukaryota; Metazoa; Chordata; Lepidosauria; Squamata; Phrynosomatidae
Source: the annotation of a GenBank genome assembly
GCCAGCCUGGUAUAGUGGUUUGAGCGUUGGACUCUAGCUCAGGAGAUCAGGGUUCAAAUCCCUGCUCAGCCA